GUGUUGUCUGAAAGAAGUAGUUAGCACUCCCCUUGGCAAGGAUGGAAGAGGCCUUUGAGCCUAAUAACACACAUAUGGUUAGGCAUUGCCACCUACUUCGUGGCAUCUAACCACUGUUUUAG
This is a small nuclear RNA of Mesocricetus auratus (golden hamster), 122 nucleotides long. The record is from Ensembl. NCBI's taxonomy places the organism in Eukaryota, Metazoa, Chordata, Mammalia, Rodentia, Cricetidae.